UAGAAAACACACAAAAAAAGGACCGAAUUAAAAUGUGCCCAACAGGAGGAGGAUCAAAAGAGAAAUUUUCGCAAACCACCCAAAACGCUGUGCAACACAUGGAUUAAAUUGAAACAGUAAUAAAACAUAUAGCAAAAUUUAAGAGAAAUAAAAAAAGUAAUUUAAAGGCAUUGUAAAACAGGAGGACCAAUCGUGGAAAUAAGCCAUUUUGAACCCUAUAAAACCCCAUUUUAAAACCCUAAAAUCACUUCCCUUUUCAACAACAGCAGCCACAAGGACUGUUUUCUUCCCCUCUCUGCUCCUCACCGAAAUCUCCUUCCCUACUCAACUCCGAUUCAGACGACGCGCAGCAAGGGUAUUGACGGCGCACCACCGCUGGUGCAUACUGGAAGAGAACGUGCGCGGCGUGCGACGUGCGGAUGGGCGAGAGACGUGUGGACGAGCUGCGCGAUCUGCGGCGCUGAGGAAGGAAAAAAAACUGCUGCUAGGGUUCUAAUUUUCUGCUCCUGUUCAAUAUUUUGGGCUAGUGGGUUGGGUUUUGGUGUAUUGGGUCAUUGGGCUUUAGGAUUUUGGGCCCUGGGCAAUAAUUGGGUAUUACAACCCAUAUGAUAAAUAUAUUUAAAAAAUUUAUAUUAAUAAAUUUAACAGUUGAAUCA
Long non-coding RNA from Gossypium raimondii (Peruvian cotton), 656 nucleotides. RefSeq lists it as uncharacterized. NCBI's taxonomy places the organism in Eukaryota, Viridiplantae, Streptophyta, Magnoliopsida, Malvales, Malvaceae. The transcript has 2 exons. The record is from RefSeq and is a predicted model, not a curated record.